This 497-nucleotide ribosomal RNA is filed under the name uncultured bacterium. RNAcentral's name for it is "partial 16S ribosomal RNA". It matches the Rfam family "Bacterial small subunit ribosomal RNA", at positions 28 to 507 of the family's 1533-position model. The record is from RNAcentral.
GAUGAACGCUGGCGGCGUGCCUAAUACAUGCAAGUCGAGCGAACAGACGAGGAGGUUGCUCCUCUGACGUUAGCGGCGGACGGGUGUGUAACACGAGGAUAACCUACCUAUAAGACUGGGAUAACUUUGGGAAACCGGAGCUAAUAACGGAUAAUAUAUUGUAUCGCAUGUUUCUAUGGUGAAAGACGGCUUUGCUUUCACUUAUAGAUUGAUCGACGGCGCAUUAGCUAAUUGGGAAGGUAACGGCCUGCCAAGGCAACGAUGCGUAGCCGACCUGAGAGGGUGAUCGGCCGCACUGGAACUGAGACACGGUCCAGACUCCUACGGGAGGCAGCAGUAGGGAAUCUUCCGCAAUGGGCGAAAGCUUGACGGAGCAACGCCGCGUGAGUGAUGAAGGUCUUCGGAUCGUAAAACUCUGUUAUUAGGGAAGAACAAAUGUGUAAGUAACUAUGCACGUCUUGACGGUACCUAAUCAGAAAGCCACGGCUAACUACGUG